RNAcentral lists this ribosomal RNA (253 nucleotides) under uncultured bacterium. RNAcentral describes it as "partial 16S ribosomal RNA". It matches the Rfam family "Bacterial small subunit ribosomal RNA", at positions 524 to 776 of the family's 1533-position model. The record is from RNAcentral.
UACGGGGGGGGCAAGCGUUGUUCGGAAUUACUGGGCGUAAAGGGCUCGUAGGCGGCUAACUAAGUCAGACGUGAAAUCCCUCGGCUUAACCGGGGAACUGCGUCUGAUACUGGAUGGCUUGAGGUUGGGAGAGGGAUGCGGAAUUCCAGGUGUAGCGGUGAAAUGCGUAGAUAUCUGGAGGAACACCGGUGGCGAAGGCGGCAUCCUGGACCAAUUCUGACGCUGAGGAGCGAAAGCCAGGGGAGCAAACGGG